Molecule: ribosomal RNA, 253 nt
Filed under: uncultured bacterium
Lineage: Bacteria
Description: partial 16S ribosomal RNA
Rfam family: Bacterial small subunit ribosomal RNA
Source: RNAcentral
UACGUAGGGUGCAAGCGUUAAUCGGAAUUACUGGGCGGAAAGCGUGCGCAGGCGGUUUGGUAAGACAGAUGUGAAAUCCCUGGGCUCAACCUAGGAAUUGCAUUUGUGACUGCCCGGCUAGAGUGUGUCAGAGGGGGGUAGAAUUCCACGUGUAGCAGUGAAAUGCGUAGAUAUGUGGAGGAAUACCGAUGGCGAAGGCAGCCCCCUGGGAUAACACUGACGCUCAUGCACGAAAGCGUGGGGAGCAAACAGG